GUCCUGUUCAAGUGUGGCCAUGAAGAAUAAUGGAAGAUCCUCCCAGAGGAUGGACCAAAGGCCGUGGACAAGGGAGUUCCACCGAGAGAGCAGAAUCAGAAUCUAAUCAAGGAACUUCCCAACCACAGGGCAGGAGACCAUCAGAACGCCUGCUCAAUCACCACAAGAAGCCCCAUCCAGACACCAUGGAGAAGAUAGUACUUCACCUGAAGAUCCCAAACUUUGUGCUUCCGCACUGACGUCAUCGGUCUUUGGGUUGCCUCUGAUGGAGAAAGAGUAUGUUCCAUAAAAGAGAGGAAGAAAGGAACAGACAAUUUGUGACCAGAAUGACAGACUGUGGAGGACAUUGGAGAGACUGGAGAAGACUAGGACAACCUUGGGAGUCAUGUUGUGAAGAUGGGAGAGCCACAGCUUAGAAGAAAAGUGGGCCCCUGAAAACACGUGGGAAAAGGCCACCCUCAAAGAGUGAUUGUAUUCGAUUACGAUAUGAGCAAAAAAUAAACGUACUUUAAUCAUACGAAG
Molecule: long non-coding RNA, 522 nt
Filed under: Equus caballus (horse)
Lineage: Eukaryota; Metazoa; Chordata; Mammalia; Perissodactyla; Equidae
Description: lncRNA (ENSECAG00000046547.1)
Source: RNAcentral